AACGAACGCUGGCGGCAUGCCUAACACAUGCAAGUCGAACGAGACCUUCGGGUCUAGUGGCGCACGGGUGCGUAACGCGUGGGAACCUGCCCUUAGGUUCUGAAUAACUCCCCGAAAGGGGUGCUAAUACCGGAUAAUGUCUUCGGACCAAAGAUUUAUCGCCUUUGGAUGGGCCCGCGUUGGAUUAGCUAGUUGGUAGGGUAAAAGCCUACCAAGGCGACGAUCCAUAGCUGGUCUGAGAGGAUGAUCAGCCACACUGGGACUGAGGCACGGCCCAGACUCCUACGGGAGGCAGCAGUGGGGAAUAUUGGACAAUGGGCGAAAGCCUGAUCCAGCAAUGGCGCGUGAGUGAUGAAGGCCUUAGGGUUGUAAAGCUCUUUUAACCGGGAUGAUAAUGACAGUACCGGGAGAAUAAGCUCCGGCUAACUACGUG
This 433-nucleotide ribosomal RNA is filed under the name uncultured bacterium. RNAcentral describes it as "partial 16S ribosomal RNA". It matches the Rfam family "Bacterial small subunit ribosomal RNA", at positions 29 to 507 of the family's 1533-position model. The record is from RNAcentral.